RNAcentral lists this ribosomal RNA (1064 nucleotides) under Cupriavidus sp. Its description in RNAcentral is "bacterial SSU rRNA". It matches the Rfam family "Bacterial small subunit ribosomal RNA", at positions 32 to 1087 of the family's 1533-position model. Lineage: Bacteria; Pseudomonadati; Pseudomonadota; Betaproteobacteria; Burkholderiales; Burkholderiaceae. The record is from RNAcentral.
GGAGAUGGCGGCAGCUUUCCAUGCAGUCGAACGGCAGCGCGGACUUCGGUCUGGCGGCGAGUGGCGAACGGGUGAGUAAUACAUCGGAACGUACCCUGUUGUGGGGGAUAACUAGUCGAAAGAUUAGCUAAUACCGCAUACGACCUGAGGGUGAAAGCGGGGGACCGAAAGGCCUCGCGCAGCAGGAGCGGCCGAUGUCUGAUUAGCUAGUUGGUGGGGUAAAGGCCCACCAAGGCGACGAUCAGUAGCUGGUCUGAGAGGACGAUCAGCCACACUGGGACUGAGACACGGCCCAGACUCCUACGGGAGGCAGCAGUGGGGAAUUUUGGACAAUGGGGGCAACCCUGAUCCAGCAAUGCCGCGUGUGUGAAGAAGGCCUUCGGGUUGUAAAGCACUUUUGUCCGGAAAGAAAUUGCUCUGGCUAAUACCUGGGGUAGAUGACGGUACCGGAAGAAUAAGCACCGGCUAACUACGUGCCAGCAGCCGCGGUAAUACGUAGGGUGCGAGCGUUAAUCGGAAUUACUGGGCGUAAAGCGUGCGCAGGCGGUUUUGUAAGACAGGCGUGAAAUCCCCGGGCUCAACCUGGGAAUUGCGCUUGUGACUGCAAGGCUAGAGUGCGUCAGAGGGGGGUAGAAUUCCACGUGUAGCAGUGAAAUGCGUAGAGAUGUGGAGGAAUACCGAUGGCGAAGGCAGCCCCCUGGGACGUGACUGACGCUCAUGCACGAAAGCGUGGGGAGCAAACAGGAUUAGAUACCCUGGUAGUCCACGCCCUAAACGAUGUCAACUAGUUGUUGGGGAUUCAUUUUCUCAGUAACGUAGCUAACGCGUGAAGUUGACCGCCUGGGGAGUACGGUCGCAAGAUUAAAACUCAAAGGAAUUGACGGGGACCCGCACAAGCGGUGGAUGAUGUGGAUUAAUUCGAUGCAACGCGAAAAACCUUACCUACCCUUGACAUGCCACUAACGAAGCAGAGAUGCAUUAGGUGCCCGAAAGGGAAAAGUGGACACAAGGUGCUGCAUGGGCUGUCGUCAGCUCCGUGUCGUGAAGAUGUUGGGGUUAAGUCC